This is an RNA transcript of Juglans regia (Persian walnut), 3097 nucleotides long. RefSeq lists it as uncharacterized. The transcript is spliced from 3 exons. Lineage: Eukaryota; Viridiplantae; Streptophyta; Magnoliopsida; Fagales; Juglandaceae. The record is from RefSeq and is a predicted model, not a curated record.
GUGUUGGGAACUUGAGCUGUUGGCAUGACUCAUCACUAUAUUCUUAUCCUAAUACUUUCUUCCGGCUUCUCAGUCCUCUUGGCUUUAUUUCCAUCUUCUUCAAUCUUCAUAUUGGACAGAUGUCGAUCGACACGGAUAAGCAUGCUGCGUCACCUCAUACGCACUCGAUUACCAUUUCCAGUGCCAAGAGCGCUCUCUCUUCCUCAACCUGUUGCCUCCCCGCUUCUUCUCCUUAAGCAUUUCAAUCCCCGCUGUUCCGUCAUCUCAAGCCCAACUCCUCCCACUACUCACUCUCCGACUCACACCCACACCCACACCCACGCCCACAUGGAUCCUAAUCCUACAGGCUCCAUCGUCUUCUCCACUCUUGACAGGCCCCAUUACGGAUUCGACCUCUUCUCUGUCGAACUCGGUCCCGCCUCCACUGUCAGUUCCGAGCGUCGCCUCACCGAUGCCAUCUCCAUCAACUUCAACGGUCAGUUCGUCGACGAUGAUCAGACCCUCGUAUUCAUCUCCGAGCGCACCGGAUCUUCCCGUAUCUACCUGUCUCAACCUGGAUUCUCCAGUCCGAAACCACUUCCUUAUAUACCCACUAGCCUCUUCCACGACCGCCCCGUCAUCCACAACGGCCGUCUCUACUUCAUCUCAGCCCACGAGCAACCCGAUCGACUCUUCAAAAGCUGGUGCGCCCUCUACUCGACCCGGGUCGAUGAGUUGGAUGUUACUCGGCUCACCCCGUACGGUACUGUCGAUUACAGUCCCGCUGUUUCUCGGUCCGGUAAAUUCAUCGCCGUUGCGUCAUACGGGUCUCGACCUUGGGACGGUGAGUUCUUCGAGCUUCACACCAAUCUAGUUGUGUUUCCACAAUCCGACCCGAAUAACCGGGUGACCGUCUGCGAACGAGGCGGCUGGCCCGCUUGGUCUGGGGACUCCACCAUCUACUUUCAUCGCGAAGCGGAGGAUGGUUGGUGGAGCAUUUUUAGGUUGGAUCUGCCGGAAAAUCUCGAGCUUUCUUCGGAACUUCAUAACACUGUCACUCGGGUCACCCCUCCCGGGCUCCAUUGCAUCACACCGGCCGCCUUGCACGACGGUAAACGGAUCGCUGUUGCGACCCGCCGGUGUGAAAGGGAGUUCAGACACAUUGAGAUCUUUGACACUGAAUCGAAGACAUUCUCCCCAGUGACGGAGUCGCUGAAUCCGACUAUAAACCACUACAACCCUUUUGUCUCUCCCGGUUCCCGGUUCCUCGGGUACCAUCGGUUCCGAGGUGAGUCGAUAGAAGGCGUGUCGACGAUUCCAUAUAUCGAGUCAUUGAUGUCUCCGAUUAAGCAACUCCGAAUGUUCAGGAUAAACGGCUUUUUCCCUUCGUAUUCUGCCGACGGUAAGUAUAUCGCGUUCAAUUACGACUUUGGUUCGAAUUCUAGCCUGAAGAUACUAAAAUCGGACGGUACGAAGCGGUGGACCCUAAUCAAGGGCCGUACAGCGUUUGGCAACUCGUGGAGCCCCGCAGAGAAACACGUUAUAUACACAUCUUUGGGGCCUAUAUUCAGGUCAGUGACAGAGACGGUCCAGAUCGCAAGGGUCGAAUUCAACCAGGCAGAUCUGGACGGCGAUGGCGAGGACGUGAAGUGCGACGUGAAGAUUUUAACCAAAGAGGAGACGGGGAAUAACGCCUUUCCGGCCUGUUCUCCGGACGGCAAGUCCGUCGUGUUCCGGUCUGGAAGGUCUGGGCACAAGAAUUUGUACAUAGUGGACUCUGUCGAUGGCGAGUUCAACGGCGGAAUACGUCGGUUGACGGACGGCGCGUGGAUCGAUACCAUGCCUAGCUGGUCACCCAAAGGAGAUCUGAUUGCGUUUUCAUCCAAUAGACACAAUCCGGACAACAGCCGAAAGUUCGGCCUUUACGUCGUCAAACCCGACGGCUCCGAUAUGCGUAGGAUCUACGUGGCGGGACCUGAGGGUUCGAAUGAAGCUGACAUGGAGAGGAUCAACCACGUCUACUUUAAUAAGGACGGGGAGUGGCUUCUGUUCACGGCUAACUUUGGCGGUGUGUCCACGGAACCGGUGUCGUGGCCCAAUCAAUUUCAGCCAUACGGCGACUUGUACGUGGUGAGGUUGGACGGGAGUGGACUGAGGAGGCUGACUUGUGAUGGGUACGAGAACGGGACGCCAGCAUGGCACUCGGGGGAUGAUGAUGAGCUGGACAUGGGACGCUUGACUCUGGGAAGCGAGGUUGGUGGGGAUCAGCUGAGAGGGGAGUUUAGGGAGCUACGUUGGCUCUCUUGUGAAUUUGUGAAGCAGUAGACUUUAGUCUAUUACUGCGCAAGGAAAUUGCCAUUUCAGUAGAAACAUGUUCUGCAGAUUCUGGAGAACUUGGAAGAAUCUAGAGCAUUGAAGAAUGAUAUAGGGAGGAGGACAGUGUGACUGUGAGGGGGCAUAUGAGGAUGAGCAAAAUGGCGUCCCAGUGAUUUUAUACUAACUCACAAAACCACGGUACUUUCUUGAGCCUACAUGUACAGGCACUAUACAAUUUUGAAGGCUGAUUUUAUUUCAUGAAUUGCUAAACUUGCUACUCCAGCUUCUUUUAUGCAGCUAGUGGUUAGGUUAGGUUAGGUUACUAAGAGAGGGAGUGUCGAAGUUUUGGUGAUAAUGGUGGCAGUGGAAAUAGUGCGAAUGAUUAUACUAUUGUGUGUGGAUGGUGUAUACUAUUGAGUGGCAGCUUCACUGCUUGUGGUAGAGUUGGCAGUGAGGGGUGGUGUGUUUAAUGUCCCUUCACCCUAAAACAGAUACGGUUGUGGAUCCAAAAGCGGUAGAAGUGGCAGUAGCAUACCUUCCAUGUCAAGGGCUAGAGACAAGUGAUGGCUUUCCUUGUACUAUAAGUCUAGCCGAUCCAGUGGAUUAUGCUCUUGCUCAUGAUUGGGAUUAAGUUUAUGCCGUGAGGUUCGGUUCCUUAUCUAGAAAGCAUACCUGGAUGGAUAUAUAUGCAUAGGUGUGUGUAUUAUCUCUUGUUACUUUGUGAAAUUCAACUGUUCCAUUUGAGGAUUUAAACUUGAAUGCUGGGACUUUGCCGGGAGCGCACUCUCAACUGUUAUUUGGU